This is a long non-coding RNA of Pieris napi, 461 nucleotides long. RefSeq lists it as uncharacterized. The record is from RefSeq and is a predicted model, not a curated record. NCBI's taxonomy places the organism in Eukaryota, Metazoa, Arthropoda, Insecta, Lepidoptera, Pieridae. The transcript is spliced from 4 exons.
UUUGUAACAUAUGCCAUAGAUUUAGUACUAUGUAUGAUGUGGUAAACUUUAAUAAAUAAAUAAACACAAAUUUCAGAUAAAAUUUCCAGUGGCGGAGAAUAAAGAAGCCGGCUCGGAAGCAUGCACGGAGUUUUUAAAUUUAAUAAAGAAAUUAAUAAAACCGAAAGAAGAUGCGAACACAUCGGAUGAGGUAACAAAGAAACCUAAAACGAAGAAAUUCGAGGAACGAUUGGAGAAAUAUUUUGAAGAGAAAUUUCCCUGGUGGCCAAGCAAAUUGAUUGAAGAUUUUGAUGUGACCACCGAAAAACCAACAACAAAAGCGACACCUGUAGAAACAUUAGUGACCAGUUACAUGGAUUUUUUGAAUAAUUUACUGAAGAUUUUUUAGUUAGAUGUAAAUUAUUUAGAAAAUGUUUUUGUAAGCCUAUGGAAUAACCCUAAAUAUAUUUGGAUUAAACGUU